UACGUAGGGACCAAGCGUUGUCCGGAAUCACUGGGCGUAAAGGGUGCGUAGGCGGGUCUUUAAGUCAGGGGUGAAAUCCUGGAGCUCAACUCCAGAACUGCCUUUGAUACUGAAGAUCUUGAGUUCGGGAGAGGUGAGUGGAACUGCGAGUGUAGAGGUGAAAUUCGUAGAUAUUCGCAAGAACACCAGUGGCGAAGGCGGCUCACUGGCCCGAUACUGACGCUGAGGCACGAAAGCGUGGGGAGCAAACAGG
Molecule: ribosomal RNA, 253 nt
Filed under: uncultured bacterium
Lineage: Bacteria
Description: partial 16S ribosomal RNA
Rfam family: Bacterial small subunit ribosomal RNA
Source: RNAcentral